UACGUAGGGUGCAAGCGUUGUCCGGAAUUAUUGGGCGUAAAGAGCUCGUAGGCGGCUCGUCGCGUCGGCCGUGAAAACCCGCGGCUUAACUGCGGGCUUGCGGUUGAUACGGGCGGGCUAGAGUUCGGUAGGGGAGACUGGAAUUCUCGGUGUAGCAGUGAAAUGCGUAGAUAUCGAGAGGAACACCAGUGGCGAAGGCGAGUCCCUGGACAACUCCUGACACUGAGGCACGAAAGCUAGGGGAGCAAACAGG
This 253-nucleotide ribosomal RNA is filed under the name uncultured bacterium. Its description in RNAcentral is "partial 16S ribosomal RNA". It matches the Rfam family "Bacterial small subunit ribosomal RNA", at positions 524 to 776 of the family's 1533-position model. The record is from RNAcentral.